RNAcentral lists this ribosomal RNA (253 nucleotides) under uncultured prokaryote. RNAcentral describes it as "partial 16S ribosomal RNA". It matches the Rfam family "Bacterial small subunit ribosomal RNA", at positions 524 to 776 of the family's 1533-position model. The record is from RNAcentral.
UACAGAGGUCUCAAGCGUUGUUCGGAUUCAUUGGGCGUAAAGAGCUCGUAGGCGGCUUGUCGCGUCGACUGUGAAAACCCGCGGCUCAACCGCGGGCCUGCAGUCGAUACGGGCAGGCUAGAGUUCGGUAGGGGAGACUGGAAUUCCUGGUGUAGCGGUGAAAUGCGCAGAUAUCAGGAGGAACACCGAUGGCGAAGGCAGGUCUCUGGGCCGAUACUGACGCUGAGGAGCGAAAGCGUGGGGAGCGAACAGG